GGAGAGGUGGCAGAGUGGUUGAAUGCGCUAGUCUCGAAAACUAGUAUACUUGUAAGGGUAUCGAGAGUUCGAAUCUCUCUCUCUCCGCCA
Molecule: transfer RNA, 90 nt
Filed under: Rhodospirillaceae bacterium
Lineage: Bacteria; Pseudomonadati; Pseudomonadota; Alphaproteobacteria; Rhodospirillales; Rhodospirillaceae
Description: tRNA-Ser
Rfam family: tRNA
About the family: Transfer RNA (tRNA) molecules are approximately 80 nucleotides in length. Their secondary structure includes four short double-helical elements and three loops (D, anti-codon, and T loops).
Source: RNAcentral